CUAGAAAUGCUGAUGAAGCCUUUCGGCCGGAACCGCCAUCUUCCAGUAAUUUGCCAAAAUGACGAACACAAAGGGAAAGAGGAGAGGCACCCGAUAUAUGUUCUCUAGGCCUUUUAGAAAACAUGGAGUUGUUCCUUUGGCCACGUAUAUGCGAAUCUAUAAGAAAGGUGAUAUCGUAGACAUCAAGGGAAUGGGUACCGUUCAAAAAGGAAUGCCCCACAAGUGUUACCAUGGCAAAACUGGGAGAGUCUACAACGUUACCCAGCAUGCUGUUGGCAUUGUUGUAAACAAACAAGUUAAGGGCAAGAUUCUUGCCAAGAGAAUUAAUGUAUGUAUUGAGCACAUUAAGCAUUCUAAGAGCAGAGAUAGCUUCCUGAAACGCGUGAAGGAAAAUGAUCAGAAAAAGAAAGAAGCCAAAGAGAAAGGUACCUGGGUUCAACUGAAGCGCCAGCCUGCUCCACCCAGAGAAGCACACUUUGUGAGAACCAGUGGGAAGGAGCCUGAGCUGCUGGAACCUAUUCCCUAUGAAUUCAUGGCAUAAUAGGUGUUAAAAAAAAAAAUAAAAGACCUCUGGGCUGAAAAA
RNA transcript from Cercocebus atys (sooty mangabey), 583 nucleotides. It is a transcript of the gene named 60S ribosomal protein L21 pseudogene, with no coding region annotated. NCBI's taxonomy places the organism in Eukaryota, Metazoa, Chordata, Mammalia, Primates, Cercopithecidae. The transcript has a single exon. The record is from RefSeq and is a predicted model, not a curated record.